This 88-nucleotide small RNA is filed under the name Bacillus sp. UNCCL13. Its description in RNAcentral is "BsrC". It matches the Rfam family "BsrC". Rfam says of the family: The 301 nucleotide sequence from Kouji Nakamura has been trimmed to a highly conserved ~85 nucleotide long core to form this family. The record is from RNAcentral. Lineage: Bacteria; Bacillati; Bacillota; Bacilli; Caryophanales; Bacillaceae. RNAcentral also lists the same sequence under 1 other name.
UUUAACCUAAACGACGUUAGCCCUACCUCUCAAACGUCCUUACGGCUCCGAAGCCGAUCCAGUUGUGAAUAGUUGUAUCUAAAAAACA